Molecule: RNA transcript, 7782 nt
Organism: Toxorhynchites rutilus septentrionalis
Lineage: Eukaryota; Metazoa; Arthropoda; Insecta; Diptera; Culicidae
Gene: BuGZ
Gene name: BUB3-interacting and GLEBS motif-containing protein ZNF207
Exons: 8
Source: RefSeq, a predicted model, not a curated record
UCAAAACUCAUCAAUCGUCUCCAUUUUCCUUCGUGUUCAAGUGGAUGGUGAAAAGAAUACACGCGAUAUUCUUUUGCCAGUUUAGUGAAAUAGUUCCCAAUUGUUUAAGAAAAUUGUGAUAUUUUCUUUAUUGUUGAGCCGGCGUUAAACCGGUAGCAUUUGUGAAGGCUCGAUUUAAAGUGAUUCUUUGGAAAUACUCAAUUGAUCACAUCACGGCUCUGCCCUUGAUGCUUAAUUAGUAGUGACAGUAGAGACCACAGAGAAGAAAAAAUCCAAUAAUGGGUCGCAAAAAGAAGAAGGCAUCAAAGCCUUGGUGCUGGUAUUGCAAUCGUGAGUUCGAUGACGAAAAAAUUCUUGUGCAACAUCAGAAGGCAAAGCACUUUAAGUGCCACAUUUGUCAUAAGAAGCUGUACACCGGACCGGGCCUAUCCAUUCACUGUAUGCAAGUGCACAAGGAGUCGAUCGAUAAAGUGCCAAACUCGUUACCGAAUCGGUCCAACAUCGAGAUCGAGAUUUACGGAAUGGAAGGAAUCCCCCCGGAGGACAUCCGGGAGCACGAGAAGCAGAAAAAUGGCGGUACCCGGUCUGAUUCGGACGACGACGAGCCGGCAGGGAAGAAAGUAAAACAGGAGGCCACUACUGCACAGAGUGUAGUGAUGCCGAGUAUGAUGCCACCCCAUCUUCAGCCGUACGGAAUGAACCCUAUGAUGGCAACGAUGGGCCAUAUGCCGUACAUGGUACCUCCAGGAAUGCCCAUGAUGCCACCAAUGAUGGGUGGUCCGCAUACGAGGCCACUAUUCCCCGCUGCUGCCUCAGCGACCACAAUUUCUGCGAACCCUGCAAUCAACAAAGCGACCUUCCCCGCUUACAGCAACGCAACGAUAAGUGCACCGCCAACCACCAACACAGCCAACGCUGCGAAUGCAGCCGCAGGCGACGCGUCCAAAUCUUCAGCCGUAAUACCCACAACAGGUACUACGUCCAAAAUUGUUCACCCGCCGGAAGAUCUCAGCUUAGAGGAAAUACGAGCGCGGAAGCCCCACUAUCACAAAAAAAUAAGUCUUGCGACGCAGCAGUUACUGCAGCAGAAGCAGCAAGAAAAACAUCAACAACAUGCAGCAGCAGCUGUGGCAGCGGCAAAUGUAGCCGCGCAUCAACAACAGCAACAGAUGCAAGCUCAGUUUAAAGCAUUUUCCUCGGCGGCUGCGGUCAGUGGGACUAACACGAUGGUAACGAGCCAACCGAGUAAGGACAGCCGAAUGAUGUCACCUCAGGAGCAAGCAGCUGUUAUAGCACAUGCACACGCUGCUGCGGCAAACCACCAGAAGCACAUCGAGGAACUGAAUCGAGCUACCAUGAUCCAUCGGCUGCAAGCAGCGAAUGCAGCGGCCGCAUCCGCUGCGGCAUCCCGACCCGGAUUACCAAUUGGAAUGGUACCGAUGUCGUUGAACCCCCAAAUGCAGCUCAUGUCUCCGAUGAUGCGGCAAGGACUCGCGAUUGGUCCUCCAGGUGCAGCUCUAAUUGGCGGUAACAUGAUCCGCCACGGUCCUCCACAAAUGGGGAUUGGUCCAGGCAUUAUUUGAGUAAAUCUUCCACCUUUUUCCACCAGUCUGUAACGAUGCUAUCCGGAUGCAGCAAAACCAUUAGUUGAAAGUACACAAAAAGAGAAACAUACAUAAAUGAUAUCUAGCAAGCAUGCACCAAAUUCUACUGCUGCCACAGCCAGACUGUAUUCCAAAUAGUUUGCUCGCAACCGAACUACAAUGAAAGAGAGAAAACAGAAAUCGAAACGACUCCAUUUGUUGCAGCCAUGUGGCCUAAUAACUCAGAUUCAGGCAAUGCCAGGCAUGGGCAUGAUGUUCCCGGGACCCCCGAUGCUGCCGAUGUUGCCGCCCCGGUACCGGUGAUCAACUCAAGGUGCACUAGUGCUGCGAACGGCCGGUCCUCUACUGAACAUUGCGCUCCCUAUCGUGUUCCCAUAGAGGGAGCGCAACAGAACGGACUGUUGAAGCAAAAAAAAAUGCAUCGCCGGCAUGUUAGAAGCAGCACCACUGGAAGCGAUCUGGAGAGGAGAUUGAUAGACUAAGAGUAUGGUCAUUCCAUCGACCCGGCAGCGAGUGAUCCUGUCUUGCAAGCAAGUGGAAAUUUUUCUUUCAAUUUUAAAUAUUUAUCACCUAGCAGAUAGCACUUCUAGUAUAGUAAGGUCUUACGGAAGAAAUGUACAUCGUGGUUAUAGUUUUGUGAGAUUCUCAUAUACUUUAUUUCGGCCGGGUAAAUUACAAAAAAGAGAUCUAAUGCUAUCAUAAUAUAUUAGUGGAAGAAAUUAUGUUUACAAUUCCCGGAUUACGAUACUAGUACAGCUUGUUGUUGCAGAUCCGAUUGUAGGUUUCUACCCCACGAGACAACUUUAACGUAACAAUACGUUAUAUAAAAAAAACAAAAAUCAUCUUAUUCUCGUUGCUAAAGCGGACAGCUUUGAUUGAUUCUGUUCCGUGUAAACGCGUCGUAGGAGUAGAUGAAGGUUCAGCAGCAUUUCUGUUCGAUAAGAACCAAUUGGAAAAUAACACCAUUCACAUAGCACCCAGAUGACUUUUACCGCACUCAGUAGAUGUGUUAUUCCAAUGAUAAAGUAAACUCAAUAGUCGUAAUAGAUCCUUAAUACCCCCCUACGUAUAUAUAUUCGACAGGUUCAUUUCUACUUACCCCCGAUAAUGGCUCAUGAAACUGAGCGAAACUAGUACUAGCACUAAAAAUGCGAUGGCCUUCCUCUACACGAAUCACGAGGGGUAUGUCACUCACAUUCUACUUUGUAUGAACUAUCACCAGUUAGACAGCUUUCUAUCGAUUUUCUGUCAUAAUUAAUGAAGGGUAAAAUCAACAUGGCAAGCAGCGUGCAAACUAAACUAAUUACGGAACAAUACAAACAUACAUUUAGAGCAACUUUGGAGUGAUUCGAAGAAAAAUAUGGCUUUGAGAUAAGUUUUCCCAAUUGAAUACUGUUGCUCAAUCAAUUAUAAAUCAGUGCCACCCAUAUUUUUCUUCGUGCGUUUUAUAAAACUUUUGAAUCAACGUUUCUAUCGAAAUUGAAUCGGUACUUGUAGAGCGAGUGUUAGGGUGAAGAGGUUUAAAUAGCAGAAAGAGUGAUCAAAAUUUAUGUACCCGUAGUAAUCACAAACUGUAAAUGUAGUGAGUUUUGGAGUAUUUCGAAACAAGGCCAUAACCGCUUGUUCUAGAACUACAAACUAACAGAACACGACAGACACAAUACUAACUGUUUUAGAAAUAAGCCUAUCGAUUUAAGAUUUCAACACACCAAUAACAGUUUUUAUCCUGUACGUUUCGUUCGAACAGAAAUAUCGUUAUACAUAUAAGAAUCGAUAGUGAAUGAUACCCUUGCAAGCGUGAAAAAGUAGGUACACAAAUGAAUCACUGACUAGACGCACUCGACGCAAGGUAAGGGACUUAUUUUUCCAAAAAAAAAAAAAUCAAAAUCAAACCAUAAUCCAUCACUAUGUUUGGAUGUAUCCUCGAGAAGAUUGCCAACUGCGGUCAGAGUCAGCAAGUAUUCACCUUUUUUUCUCCGUUACGCUCAUUAAACUACGUAAUUCGUCGCACCUUCGCCGAUACUCAGAUUAUCCGACGAGUCGGAAAACCGUAACAUUAUUCCAUUCUUACUAGUUCCUUCGAUCAAACGAGUCGUAAACAACUUAUAAUUUAUGUUGAUGGUGAAGGCUUUCAUUGUACGUUUGUGUGUUUUCUCUUACGAUUGUCUUGUGCUGGAUGGAACACAUCAUGUUAUACCGAGUUUACUAUUUUUGACACGUUGUUUUCUUGUUUAUAAGUUUCCCAAUUUUUCGAGGAAUGAGUACACACAAUUAUAAUACAUAGAACUGCUUACACCCUUGAGGGCUAUAGUUUCGGGGAGCAACUUUUUUGUUAUUUCAAUUAUAUUUUAAAUGUUACAACUCCCCCACCAGGUCCUAAUCGUAGAAACUCGCUUGUGUCAUUCUAGCAUACCCUAUUCGCCUCAUCCCACUGUGUAGACUUUUUUCUUUUAUUUAAUUUUCCCUUAAGAAUCACACAUUGAGCGCGUAAGUACACACAUCUUUUUCACACACUCUUAUUUUUUUCUCGUUUUUUCACUUUCCUCCACCAUCACUACACAGGCAAGUAAAUGUUAUUGGCUUUACUAUAGUAAUUAGCUGUAAUGGAAACCGAUAAUUCCCUGGUAGGAUGAUUGGUAGCUGUAUCAUGUCACUUCGCGGUUUAACAGAGGCAAAUUUUGAUUGAAUAGGAUAAGCCCAAGAUAAGACGCUAUACAGUCAACUGUUUUGUCGCAAACGACGAGAAUGGAUUAUUUUGACGUAGGACUACGUGUAACAGGAAUAUAUUGGUGGGAGGGGGCAAAAUGAAGAUGUAAACACUGAAUACGUAGGAAAAAUGAAAGAUUUCGAAUGCUUAUAACUCGAACAUUUCAAAAUAGAUCGCAGAGAUUUUUGCGUCAAUUGACAGGAAACAUUCCUAAGCAUUUAUCACAAAGAAUGAAGUUUUAUUUUUCUAAAGAUAUACCACUGAACAAUUGUGAAAUGUCAAGGAUUGUCUCCGCCCUAAAUACCACGUUUUGAUUGGCCCGAUUUGUGCUCCUAAAGAUGUACCGACCAAAAGAAGCAACCAGAGUAACAGCAAAAUACGGUUUCCUCAAUCAAAACCUCCAAAACCAAGGCGUAUGGGUGAUGAUGAUGAUGAUGGAUUAAAGAGACUUUAAACUCUGAGAAUUCAUUCGUCUCUGCAGGUGUAUGGGGAAAUCGGUAUUGCAAAUAUAUGCAAACUGCGGAUACUUUUGUACUCGCUUGCAUUUUUGCAGACCAGAAUGUGUUUCCCUAACACGGACUUCCAAGCUAUGGAGUAUGGGGAAUCGGCAUUGCAAAUAUAUGCAAACCGGGGGCGAUUUUGUUCACUCAUUUGUUUGUCUUGCAGUUCUAAUUGGAAAAAAUGUUGUAUUCUAUUCUCACAAAAUCAAACUCAGCAUAUUUAUAACAACAAUUGAACCCUAGUCUUCCAUCUACGAAACUAUGGAAAAACAUAAGUCGUUUAGGUCUUACCAAAACACAAAAUCGAGGAGAUGUCGGAGACUUAGGUUGCGUAACGGCUGAUUCAUUGACUCGAUUUUUCAUUUCUGAUUUGUUCCCGGUAUUUAAUGAAGGAGCCUGAAAUAAACUAUUUCUUAAACUUUUCCUUCAGGUCUGUUAGCUUUGAUGAAAUUUCAACAGCAAUCGGUUAUGACGAUACUGAAGCAUCUGAUGUGCUACUCCCGGUAUACAAAAAUAUUUUCAAUUGCAUAAUUACUAAAUCUACAUUCCCAGAAGCCAAUUACCAAAAACGACAACCCUACCGAAAACAAAGAUUUUAGACCAAUAAGCAUACUGCCUGCUUUAUCUAAAAUCUUUUAAAGUCUCCUAUGCAAACAACUUAACGAAUAUUUGCUUUGCAAUAACACUAUGUCGUCUUCAGUCGGGAUAUCGUAAAAAAUGCAGCACAACAACAGCACUAACAGUGGCGUCCAAUGAAGCAUUUGCACCCGUGGCGGAAGAGUCGAUUUGCUCCCCCAUCCCCCAUCAGAGAAUGAAUCAAUUAUGUUCAACUAUUUUAUUCAUACAAAUUCGGUUCUUCCUGGACCCCUAAAACAGUGUACCUGGGGGCGGUCCGAAUUAAGAAUGUGUUUUCAAACUUACAGAAUCUGAACUGGAGCUCCAUCAUAUUUACAAAACUGUUUUGUGUAUUUGAGAUUCUCACGACCUACGAAUUUGAUGGUUUCAAGAAACAGUACAAGCGUAUUAAAAAAAAUCAUUCCGCCAACGUGCUGAAAUUUUAUGGAACAACCUUCCUUUAAGCUGCAAGCUUGCUUCUUCAUUUUCUGCAUUCAAAAGAUUGUGUAGUCAAUACUUUUCAUCAAGGAACUAAUCGUCAUAUUAGUGUAGUAUUGAGACUUUGAGAACCAUUAGGUUAUUUAUACUAUUAUUUGGUUUUAUACAAAUAAAAAAAUAAUAAAAAAUGAUACUUAAGUAUUUCAAAUUAAAAUAAAUUAAGUUAUUUCAAUGAAAGUUCUCGUCCUCGCAUAUUUUCAAUGAAAGUUCUCGUCUUUUAAGAUAAAGAAAUGGAUCUAAAUAUUUGUUUUUUUUUUUAUAAAAAGUAAAGCGCUGCUUGGCGAGUCAAUAAAUAAGUGGCAGACCGAUGGAGCAAUGCAUCUACUGAAGCUCUUCCAAAAUUGAUUUGACGACUUUUACAACAUGUAGCCUACCAUUAUCAUGCAGAAAUAUCAAUUUGUAAUGUCUUUUGGCAUUUUGAGAGCGCUUGAUGCUCGACUUAGAUGGUCUCUGAAUAUUCUGUUUGGCCGUCGAUGUCAAUGCAUAGCCAUGCUUAUCACACAAAAUUCUGAGCUUCCGAUUGCCCAUUCCUGUUUUAAAGCAAUUGUAUGCAAGUAAAAACAUGAGUUCAUAUGGCAUCCAUGGUAUGGCAUUGUUUGUUCUUGCGCCAUUUCCACCUUGAAACUUUCGAGAUUUCAAUAAGCGUCUCGUCUCGUCUCGUCUCAUCACUUCAGAAUGCCAAUCAGCCCCCAAACAAGAAAUGUUAGAUAACUCAACCAUAGUUGAUAUAUGAUCAUGAGGAUUUUUUUACAGUUUUGACCAUUUAUCAACUGAAAGAUGUCGGAUUUUUCACACUCAACUCGAAUCGUUUGCGACAAAACAGGGAGCUCCAGGAAAAAAGCCAUAAUCCACUAAGCCUACAAUCGCCUCUUUUUCUAACCGAGAAAACUCAAACAUUUACACCAAGCCAACUCAUCCAACCACAGUGUAGCUAUUAAGUAGUGAUGUCCGUAUGACACAUCUGUCAGGUUUGAAGCUCGAGACCAGGAUUUACUUCAACUACUUUCUUUUGCUUUAUUUCUUCCUCUUCAAGAUUUUCUGUGAGCGCGCCUGUUCACAAGCCCUUUCGUAAUAAGACCUGACUCUGACAAAUGCGCAUAAAGUCGGAUCAUGAGGCACAUGUGCUCAAAGAAUCGAUAAGUACCUCACAUAUAUUUUUUUCUUUUCUCCUUAUAGUUUAAUCAGUACUACCUCUACAGUUACAAAACAAAUCGAAAGUCGCAUCCAAAGAUAAAAAACAAUAAAAAAAAACAAGAGUAUACAUUCAGUGCGUUCAAUAACGUAUAUUUCAUUUGAGUAACUUCCCAGGCAGGUGAUAGCAAGAGACAACCGAUGUCUCGUUGUCACAAGUUUGAUGUUGGAUAUUAGCUUAUCCCUUGCUUUACUGGGCUUGUUAAAGGACACUCGAUGUUCGUUCAAUCUACAUUACACCCUUUAACAAACUCGUCGAGCAGGCGACACACAGGCGAGAUGGUGAAAGUGUUGAAGACUGAUGUUCUUGAUUCAGGAGCAUGUAGUACUAGUUCAAUCUAAUCCAACCAAAACUGUUUAACGCUUUCACCAAAAAUCCGUUGUGUCACAUCAAAUUUGUUGAGUGAGAAGUCCCUUGUUGGAUCAGUGCCGACCCACAUACGGUAUUGAUACAACAGGUGAAAUUUUCCCCAACGAUAUUUCACAGCUCUAUCCAAGUCUACCAAAUAGUUUAAUGUGACGGAGAUGGUUUCUACUCAUAUUCUCUUCAGGAAAGAUAUUGUAUGUUAUUCGUUCUGUAUCUUAGGCAUAAUGUUUAUUCAAAACUAUGAGCUGUUGGACUUUUCAUCCCCUGCCUGGGGGCUUCUAGCGCAGAUUCUUCAAUGAA